RNAcentral lists this ribosomal RNA (469 nucleotides) under uncultured bacterium. RNAcentral's name for it is "bacterial SSU rRNA". It matches the Rfam family "Bacterial small subunit ribosomal RNA", at positions 34 to 518 of the family's 1533-position model. The record is from RNAcentral.
CGCUGGCGGCGUAGCCUAACACGAUGCAAGUCGAGCGAGGAGAGUCCUUCGGGAUGAUCCUAGCGGCGGACGGGUGAGUAACACGUGGGCAACCUGCCUCAUAGAGAGGAAUAGCCUUCCGAAGGGAGAUUAAUACCUCAUAACAUUGCAGUUUCGCAUGGAACAGCAAUUAAAGGAGUAAUCCGCUAUGAGAUGGGCCCGCGGCGCAUUAGCUAGUUGGUGAGGUAACGGCUCACCAAGGCGACGAUGCGUAGCCGACCUGAGAGGGUGAUCGGCCACAUUGGGACUGAGACACGGCCCAGACUCCUACGGGAGGCAGCAGUGGGGAAUAUUGCACAAUGGGGGAAACCCUGAUGCCAGCAACGCCGCGUGAGUGAUGACGGCCUUCGGGUUGUAAAGCUCUGUCUUCAGGGACGAUAAUGACGGUACCUGAGGAGGAAGCCACGGCUAACUACGUGCCAGCCGCCGC